CCUACGGGAGGCAGCAGUGGGGAAUAUUGGGCAAUGGACGCAAGUCUGACCCAGCAACGCCGCGUGAAGGAAGAAGGCUUUCGGGUUGUAAACUUCUUUUAAGGGGGAAGAGCAGAAGACGGUACCCCUUGAAUAAGCCACGGCUAACUACGGGCCAGCAGCCGCGGUAAUACGUAGGUGGCAAGCGUUGUCCGGAUUUACGGGGAGGAAAGGGCGGGCAGCCGGGAAGACAAGUCAGAUGUGAAAUCCCGCGGCUCAACCGCGGAACUGCAUUUGAAACUGUUUUUCUUGAGUAUCGGAGAGGUAAUCGGCAUUCCUAGUGUAGCGGUGAACUGCGUCGAUAUUAGGAAGAACCCCAGUGGC
This 363-nucleotide ribosomal RNA is filed under the name uncultured bacterium. Its description in RNAcentral is "partial 16S ribosomal RNA". It matches the Rfam family "Bacterial small subunit ribosomal RNA", at positions 338 to 716 of the family's 1533-position model. The record is from RNAcentral.